RNAcentral lists this unclassified non-coding RNA (391 nucleotides) under soil metagenome. RNAcentral describes it as "partial contains 5.8S ribosomal RNA, internal transcribed spacer 2, and large subunit ribosomal RNA". The stretch from base 1 to 122 matches the Rfam family "5.8S ribosomal RNA", at positions 35 to 154 of the family's 154-position model. The record is from RNAcentral.
GAUGAAGAACGUAGCGAAAUGCGAUACUUGGUGUGAAUUGCAGAAUCCCGUGAACCAUCGAGUCUUUGAACGCAAGUUGCGCCCGAAGCCAUUAGGCCGAGGGCACGCCUGCCUGGGCGUCACACGUCGUUGCCCCCCCAUCUACUCCUUCGGGAUUGCGAGGGGCGGAUGAUGGCCUCCCGUGCGCCUCGUCGCGCGGUUGGCAUAAAUGCCAAGUCCUCGGCGACGCACGCCACGACAAUCGGUGGUUGCGAAACCUCGGUUGCCCGUCGUGUGCGGUCGUCGCGCAUCGAGGGCUCGAAAAAAUUGCCGGGCUCCGGCUCGGCUUUCAACGCGACCCCAGGUCAGGCGGGGUUACCCGCUGAAUAUAAGCAUAUCAAUAAGCGGAGGA